This 22-nucleotide unclassified non-coding RNA is filed under the name Mus musculus (house mouse). Its description in RNAcentral is "oocyte_clustered_small_RNA10616". The record is from RNAcentral. Lineage: Eukaryota; Metazoa; Chordata; Mammalia; Rodentia; Muridae.
AUUUGCCCCAUGCUGUAGCAGG